UUCCCCUAGUAACUGCGAGUGAAGCGGGAAAAGCUCAAAUUUUGAAUCUGGCGGUCUUUAGGCCGUCCGAGUUGUAAUCUAGAGAAGCGUCUUCCGCGCUGGACCGUGUAUAAGUUUCCUGGAAUGGAACGUCGUAGAGGGUGAGAAUCCCGUCUUUGACACGGACUACCAGGGCUAUGUGAUGCGCUCUCGACGAGUCGAGUUGUUUGGGAAUGCAGCUCAAAUAGGGUGGUAAAUUCCAUCUAAAGCUAAAUACAGGCGAGAGACCGAUAGCGAACAAGUACCGUGAGGGAAAGAUGAAAAGAACUUUGGAAAGAGAGUUAAACAGUACGUGAAAUUGCUGAAAGGGAAACGCUUGAUGUCAGUCGCGUCCGCCGGGGAUCAGCCUUGCUUAACGGCUCGGCGUACUUCCUGGUAGACGGGUCAGCAUCAGUUUUGACCGUCGGAAAAUGGCUCGAGGAAUGUGGCACUCUUUCGGGAGUGUGUUAUAGACUCGGGUCGAAUACGAUGAUUGGGACUGAGGAACUCAGCACGGCCUUAGGGUUCGGGACUUCGGUCUACGUUUUCGUGCUUAGGAUGCUGGCAUAAUGGCCUUAAGCGACCCGUCUUGAAACACGGACCAAGG
Molecule: ribosomal RNA, 625 nt
Filed under: Rhizopogon sp.
Lineage: Eukaryota; Fungi; Basidiomycota; Agaricomycetes; Boletales; Rhizopogonaceae
Description: eukaryotic LSU rRNA
Rfam family: Eukaryotic large subunit ribosomal RNA
Source: RNAcentral